Molecule: non-coding RNA, 3307 nt
Organism: Ictidomys tridecemlineatus (thirteen-lined ground squirrel)
Lineage: Eukaryota; Metazoa; Chordata; Mammalia; Rodentia; Sciuridae
Source: RefSeq, a predicted model, not a curated record
UCCCCUACCCAGGACCGGGCUUGGCUGGCAGCCUUCAGGCGGGGGGGAGCACAGGGUCCAGGAGACAGACUCUGUGCCGAGCACGCCUGGGCGGGGGUCCCCAGGGCGAGCUGUCCACAGAGCAGUUGCUGUUCCUGGGGCUGACGGUGGAGUGGGCAGAGGGAGGGUCUGCAGCCUGGCAUGGUAGGGGUUGCUGUCGGGUAGGACUGAGAACGGAGUAGCGGGGGCUGGAUGGGCCUCCCUGCAUGGCUUCUGCCCACCUCCCGGUCACCCAAGUGCAUGCUCAGCCUGUCCUCCAGGAGGAGAGGGAGUCAUAGACCUCGAAGUCUGAAGAGGACCAGGCUCCCACCAAACUGUCUGAGCCCAAAGGAGUCCUGGACACAUGCCUUGCGGUCCCCAGUGCAGAGCGGGCCAGCCCAGGGCGAGGGAUGCUGUCUUUAUAAGCCACAGGCUGCCCUGGGUUUCGAUCUCGCUCUUUUCCUUCUCCUUGGAGACACUCGGGCUAUAAACUUUCAAGAGGAAUUUCAGCUCUGGGGGUUUGUGUAGGAGGAACUGUGGUCUGUGUGUUUUCUGGCCCCAGGAGUGGUCCAGGGUGAGUCCUGCAGCUGCCUCCCGAGGCCAUCUGGAGGCGAUCUCUGCCUGCUCUGGCCCCAGCUCUAAGUGGUGGGUCACAGUGCUUACAGUGGGGACAGUGCAUUUAGGUUUAUGGAGCAAAAAGGAAGUGGAAGGGUUUUUGGUGGCUACACUGAUUUCCAGCAUGUUCUCCCAGGCACUGGGGGCUGCCUGUGGGCUCAGGCGCAGGAGGCAGGGAGACCCUACCUGAGCCUGCUCAGGACACUCCUUGCUUGGGAAAUCUGGGUGGGAGCUGGUGACCAGGGUCCUGGCUGAGGGCACGCUGGCCAGGACUCUGGGGAAAGUUCUAGAAGAAGGCAAGAGCAGCCGACACCAUGCCAUGCCCCAAGGAUGGGCUCAGAAAGGUUGGCCAGGGGCCAGAAGAGGACCUGUCCCAAUUCACCCUUCUAGGAGAGGACCCCAGGGAGACACUGGGACCAGUCUAAGAGUGAAAUUCCUUACAGGUUUGCAUGGGGAGCAGAGGAGUGGGGCCCUCCUCCGCCUCAAGACCUCGGUCUUAGGUUCCACGUUGGGAGCUACGAGGCUGUUAUUUAAGGGCUGUGUGUUUGUUUUAGAAUCAAGUUGUGUUUUAUUAAGGCUGAAAGUCGGCGCCUUUUACAAAUGGAUCCUCCUGCCUCCUGGACCAAAAGCACUGACCCAUUCCUGGUGGAACCAACGCAGAGGGGCUGAGUGGCCAGGCAGGUGGGGGGUGGACAGAGGCCUUACACAGAGGGCAGGGCCUACAGAGGUGGGACCCUCCCAUCUCCAGCAUCCCUCCAGCCUCCCUCCAGCCCCUCUCUCCUGUCUGUCCACUGAAGGACAGCAGACUGCCCCAGACUGCCUUCCUGUCUUUGCUAAGAUGUGGCGGGCUGGCUCUCUGUCAAGGAGGUGACCUUGGGUGUGGCCUUCCUUUCUUCACCUUCCUCUAGAGCCGCACAAGGGUGCAGAGCAGUCAAGAACUGGCUCCGCUCUAGGCUGUGAGGAGGUGGCUCCUUGGCUUGGCAUCCUGGGGCCUGCAGAUCUUAGGACGAGGUCUGGAGAUGACUCAAGGGUGGUCAGUAAGGACAGGAGGCCACCUCAAAGAGUCUCUAGGGAGCAGGGAGACACAGGUAGCACAGUUAGGUAAACAGUCGGCCUCUCUGGCGCUGCCCAGCCCAAUCUGGAGGAGGCUCUUCUCCUAUGGGGAGAAAUGGAUGCACACUAUUGAUACAGCAGCUAAAAAUAACCCGUGUUCCAAACAAAGUGUUUUUAGUAUUUAGAAAUGAAAACGUGUAGACAAAGCAUGGAUGGAGACUGCAUGAGUCACAAACUGCUGACUCUGAAGCAAUAGAAAUCCAGAGAGAGUUCCUUCUCCCUCUGCUUGUCGCUCCCCCCCCCCCCGAUUUGGAAUAGCUUAUAAAGAGUGUCCCUCACAAGCAGGACCCCAGACUCCCCUGGGAGUUACGGUCCUGCGCAGCAGGGGCUGAGAUCGCUCGGCUCUCACUACCGUUCGCGGAGCUGGCCUCCUCAUGAGGCCCCUUCAUUUCUGCUCCUGGUGCGAUUGCUCCCAGGCCUCGGCAGGAGCAGGGACUUCCAGGCCCCGUUAACCCGGGCUCUUCCCUCCCUGGGCUCUGCCCCGCUGGACCUCAACUCUGCUGAACUCUUCAGCCCAGCAGGGCCUGUCACUGAGCCCUGGCCCCAGGAGCUACGCCUGGGGGGGGCACACCUUGGGGCGUGGCAGCAGGGUGCAGCAGUGGUGUCCCCGUCCACACUGUAUCUCAGGCUGGCCUGCUGGCCCCUGGGAUCAGACCCCCACCCCACAACAGUGCUCAGCCCAGCCUGCGAUUUUGCCUUCUGCAGUUUCCAGCGUCCAAUGUCACCUGUGGUCUAAAAACAUCACCGUAGCACAAUACGGAACAAGCUUCAGGCUGAUCACACACGCGGGUCCAGGACGGCUGCCUCGUCCCUGUUCCAUCUCUCAUUGUGCUGACCUCUCAGGUCCAGUUGAUUGGGCCGUCCACGCACAGGGAGGGCAGAUCUUCUGUCCCCAUGCACAGACUCCCCUGCCGGCCCCUCCCAGGCUCCCUCAGACGCACCUAGAGAUGAUGCUUCUGGAGCCUCCGGCUUCUCUCCACUCAGCCAGGCUGAACGUGAAGCCACCGUCACACACUCUGUGCAGGAAGAGGCUAUGUGGGGUUCCGUGCCCGUGAGGUUUGGGGCACCCACGGGCCCUGGCACACACCUCUGUGCACAGGGACUACUGGGUUCCUCUCUGAGCACUUCCCUGGCAGCUCCCGUUGCCAUUCCUGCACCACACGGUGAGGGGGUCCCACAGCCCCCAGCCCCACAUCCGCAGCCUUGGCCCCAGCAGGGCUCAGUGACCUGGAGGCCAGGUCACCGCCCCUCCCCAGCAGGACUGUUCCGCUCCAGGAACCUUCUCAUUCACAAGGAAAGCUGCACGGGGCUGAGGCUCCCUGGGCUCCCUGCCCUGCCUUUGUCAUUGUCCCUGCCCAUCAGAGUGCAGGAGGGCCUCCCAGUAUAGGACCUGUGGGUGCCUGGCCACUGUCCCCCCUCUCUUCACAGCCCUGCUCCAUCAAGGGUGUGUGUCCCUUCUGCUCUCUCCUCCAACGUCCUUUGCUUCCCCAGCACAAUCAUUCUUCUGCCGUCACCUGCUUUUUGAAACCUGCAUCAUGUUCUUAAAGCUUUUGGAAAAAUC